AGAUUUUUUACAAGUGUUUGGAGGGUCAUGGCUACUCAUUGUCCCUCCUUCCUCCACUUCUAUACACCUAUUUAAGACUUUUUACAAGCGUUUGGGACGACCAAGACUCCCCCUUGUCCCCCUUCUCUCAGCCACUGAUCAUCAUAUGACAGUAACAUCUUAAAGUUUCUGCUCUGAAGACCAAAAUUCAGCCAUUCCGCUGACAGGAACAAGGACGCUAGAGGAUGGAUUAGCAAAGGAGUUGGCAAUCAACAGUCAACAAAACUAUCCAAAUUCCAAGGAGAAUAGGUUUAGUUAAAUUUUAAUGAGAAUUUCAGCAAGAAAACAUAAACCCUAAGACUAAUCGAUCAUUGUUCUCUAAGUUGCAGAGUGGACAUAAUACAAGUAUAUAGAAUCUCAUCUUCCUCCACAAUUAGCUUGCAUCUAAUGAAACUCCCUUU
Molecule: unclassified non-coding RNA, 440 nt
Filed under: Hevea brasiliensis (rubber tree)
Lineage: Eukaryota; Viridiplantae; Streptophyta; Magnoliopsida; Malpighiales; Euphorbiaceae
Source: RNAcentral